CUAAAGUACUCAAGAAACUCUUCUCCCUCCUUUGUUUCCCGUGGGAUUUCAGCUUGUGAAGAGAUGUGGAACCGAACCCCCGAAGUGCCUUCCCCUAUUGCACGUUUGGGUUUUUAUAGGCUGCAACCUUCCUCUCUCUUCUUCCUCGUUUCACGUUGCGAUAAGGAUGGACUAAAGCGGGAUGAGGUUGAGAGAUUUCUGCUUAAUCUCCGGACGCGUUGGAGCUUGGAUGAUUCCGAAGAGAAAAUCUGGGAGAUAAAUCAGUUCGGAGUUUAUCCAUGGAUAUGCUGGGAUUUGAGGUUGGGAACGGAUGGAACGCGUUGUGAACGCGCAGUGGAUGUGCUUGGACACGGCUGGGAACAGAGGAGGUGAUCUGUGGGAUAUUGGAAGGAUGCGGAGGAGGCUCGGAUGGCUCGGAAGCUUGGAGGAAAUCUGGGAUGGAGGAAAUUAUGGCUGGAGAUGAAGUUAAUCUGAGCUGGCCAUGAGAUAUUCGGACGUGGAGGGAGAUGAUCACGUGGAGGAUCAUGUGGCUCCAUUCUGAAACAGGGAAAAAACUUGGAUUCAGUUGACAGUUUAGAUGAAGCUUGCUUGGAAGCUUGGGAACGGCUGGCC
RNAcentral lists this long non-coding RNA (612 nucleotides) under Phoenix dactylifera (date palm). RNAcentral's name for it is "long non-coding RNA (PDAC_LNC020470)". Lineage: Eukaryota; Viridiplantae; Streptophyta; Magnoliopsida; Arecales; Arecaceae. The record is from RNAcentral.